CAGAACCACAUGGAAACACUACCACCA
RNAcentral lists this non-coding RNA (27 nucleotides) under Mus musculus (house mouse). The record is from RNAcentral. Lineage: Eukaryota; Metazoa; Chordata; Mammalia; Rodentia; Muridae.